RNAcentral lists this unclassified non-coding RNA (440 nucleotides) under plant metagenome. Its description in RNAcentral is "partial contains internal transcribed spacer 2 and large subunit ribosomal RNA". The stretch from base 1 to 105 matches the Rfam family "5.8S ribosomal RNA", at positions 49 to 154 of the family's 154-position model. The record is from RNAcentral.
CGAACUGCGAUACGUAAUGUGAAUUGCAGAGCUAGUGAAUCAUCAAGUCUUUGAACGCAAAUUGCGGUUCUGGGAAUUCCUGGAACCAUGCCUGUUUGAGUGUCAGUAACAAUUAUAUUCAAAUAUUAUGUAUUUGUUAAAAUACAUAAUGGUAAUGAAGGUUUCAAUGUUCAUUUAUUUGAAUAUCGACCUUUUAAAUGCUAAUUGUAUAAAAGAGUGUACUCUAUGUACGUUUUAUUUUUUCCAAUGUGUCGAGUAAAUUGAUAUUUUAUAUAUCAAUUGCUAAUUAUAUAUAUACAUUGGUAUUAUAAUAAAAUGUACGCUUUAAAAUAGGAUACAUUUUACUUUUAUAUAUCUUAAUUAAACUAUGUAUAUUAUUAUUAUUAUGAUAGUAUAUACAUAGACCUCAAAUCAGGUAAGACUACCCGCUGAAUUUAAGC